Molecule: long non-coding RNA, 392 nt
Organism: Myotis brandtii (Brandt's bat)
Lineage: Eukaryota; Metazoa; Chordata; Mammalia; Chiroptera; Vespertilionidae
Exons: 4
Source: RefSeq, a predicted model, not a curated record
GGGGAAACCGCGCUGCCUUGGGCCCUUCCGUACCCGGGUACAGCUGGGAGAUGGUGUCCUCCCGGCCAGCAUGAAGUCAGUACCUCUUGCGGUUGCUCCAGCAAAAGAAAGAAAAAGACCAACAGACCAGUGUAAAUCCAGCUAUCGGCUGAGGUGGCCUGGACCAGGGAGCAGCCCAGCAGACAAACUAGGAACCCACUCUAGACCCCAGUGAUCUCUGCACAGACACAGAACUGGCUUCGUCCGAGCCUGGAAGGCGGUGUGCUGACCGUCCACUCCGACACUGACCUUUGGUUUGCCAGCCCGGGGGAAACAAACAUUGGCCUCCCGCCUACAUUCUUCCGGUCCAACUCCAGCGCCUGCAGGGCCGACUUCUCCUCCUUGAACUCCAC